Molecule: long non-coding RNA, 329 nt
Filed under: Medicago truncatula (barrel medic)
Lineage: Eukaryota; Viridiplantae; Streptophyta; Magnoliopsida; Fabales; Fabaceae
Description: long non-coding RNA (MTRU_LNC003168)
Source: RNAcentral
ACUCAGAAACUGACAUACGGUAUGGUGCCAUCGACACCGGCUUCGUUCCUGGAACAAGGUCAAUUGAAAAUUCAACCUCCCUCUCUGGUGGCACAUCAGGAAUCUCAUCAGGAAAUACUUCUGGAAAUUCAUUCACUACAGGUAACCCAUCAAUCACAGCUUGAUUUUCUAACGACAAUUGUGCCAUUAGAGAAUACAUCAGAAUUCCAUCACGUUCAAACUGUUUCAUCUGUUUUGUAGACAGAAGCUCAACCUCACCUUCUUCCUCAGCAGAAGAAAAAUGCACCGUCUUACUAUAGCAGUUGAUAUGAACUCGAUUAUAUUCUAAC